This 317-nucleotide ribosomal RNA is filed under the name uncultured Bacteroidales bacterium. RNAcentral's name for it is "partial 16S ribosomal RNA". The record is from RNAcentral. Lineage: Bacteria; Pseudomonadati; Bacteroidota; Bacteroidia; Bacteroidales.
GGAGUCUGGUCCGUGUCUCAGUACCAGUGUGGGGGACCUUCCUCUCAGAACCCCUACGCAUCGUAGCCUUGGUGGGCCGUUGCCCCGCCAACCAGCUAAUGCGCCGCAUGCCCAUCUCCUUCCGCCGCAGCUUUCCCCGCACGGCCAUGCAGCCGCGCGGACUAUGGGGUAUUAGGCCAAAUUUCUCUGGGUUAUCCCCCUGAAGGAGGCAGGUCGCAUACGUGUUACUCACCAGUGCGCCGGUCGCCAUCAGGCGUGUUGCCACGCCCAUGCUGCCCCUCGACUUGCAUGUGUUAAGCCUGUCGCUAGCGUUCAUC